AUCAGUGGCGACGGGUGGAGUAACACGUGGGCAACCUGCCCCUAGCUCUGGGAUAACUCCGGGGAAACCGGGGCUAAUACCGGAUAUGACCUCGGAGGACAUCCUCUGUGGUGGAAAGUUUUUCGGCUAGGGAUGGGCCCGCGGCCUAUCAGCUUGUUGGUGAGGUAACGGCCCACCAAGGCGACGACGGGUAGCCGGCCUGAGAGGGCGACCGGCCACACUGGGACUGAGACACGGCCCAG
RNAcentral lists this ribosomal RNA (242 nucleotides) under uncultured bacterium. RNAcentral's name for it is "partial 16S ribosomal RNA". It matches the Rfam family "Bacterial small subunit ribosomal RNA", at positions 102 to 334 of the family's 1533-position model. The record is from RNAcentral.